GAUGAACGCUGGCGGCGUGCUUAACACAUGCAAGUCGAACGGUGAAGGCGGAGCUUGCUCUGCUGGAUCAGUGGCGAACGGGUGAGUAACACGUGAGCAAUCUGCCCCUGACUCUGGGAUAAGCGCUGGAAACGGCGUCUAAUACUGGAUACGAGCUGCGAAGGCAUCUUCAGCAGCUGGAAAGAAUUUCGGUCAGGGAUGAGCUCGCGGCCUAUCAGCUUGUUGGUGAGGUAAUGGCUCACCAAGGCGUCAACGGGUAGCCGGCCUGAGAGGGUGACCGGCCACACUGGGACUGAGACACGGCCCAGACUCCUACGGGAGGCAGCAGUGGGGAAUAUUGCACAAUGGGCGAAAGCCUGAUGCAGCAACGCCGCGUGAGGGACGACGGCCUUCGGGUUGUAAACCUCUUUUAGCAGGGAAGAAGCGAAAGUGACGGUACCUGCAGAAAAAGCGCCGGCUAACUACGUG
This 468-nucleotide ribosomal RNA is filed under the name uncultured bacterium. Its description in RNAcentral is "partial 16S ribosomal RNA". It matches the Rfam family "Bacterial small subunit ribosomal RNA", at positions 28 to 507 of the family's 1533-position model. The record is from RNAcentral.